UGCAGUCGAGCGCGGGAAAGCGAGCUGAUCCCUUCGGGGUGACGCUCGUGGAACGAGCGGCGGACGGGUGAGUAACACGUGGGCAACCUGCCUGUAAGAUCGGGAUAACUCCGGGAAACCGGGGCUAAUACCGGGUAAUACUUUCUUUCGCAUGAAGGAAAGUUGAAAGAUGGCUUCUCGCUAUCACUUACAGAUGGGCCCGCGGCGCAUUAGCUAGUUGGUGAGGUAACGGCUCACCAAGGCGACGAUGCGUAGCCGACCUGAGAGGGUGAUCGGCCACACUGGGACUGAGACACGGCCCAGACUCCUACGGGAGGCAGCAGUAGGGAAUCUUCCGCAAUGGACGAAAGUCUGACGGAGCAACGCCGCGUGAACGAUGAAGGUCUUCGGAUCGUAAAGUUCUGUUGUUAGGGAAGAACAAGUACCGUGCGAAUAGAGCGGUACCUUGACGGUACCUAACGAGGAAGCCCCGGCUAACUACGUGCCAGCAGCCGCGGUAAUACGUAGGGGGCAAGCGUUGUCCGGAAUUAUUGGGCGUAAAGCGCGCGCAGGCGGUUCCUUAAGUCUGAUGUGAAAGCCCACGGCUCAACCGUGGAGGGUCAUUGGAAACUGGGGAACUUGAGGACAGAAGAGGAGAGUGGAAUUCCACGUGUAGCGGUGAAAUGCGUAGAUAUGUGGAGGAACACCAGUGGCGAAGGCGACUCUCUGGUCUGUUUCUGACGCUGAGGUGCGAAAGCGUGGGUAGCAAACAGGAUUAGAUACCCUGGUAGUCCACGCCGUAAACGAUGAGUGCUAGGUGUUAGGGGGCUUCCACCCCUUAGUGCUGAAGUUAACGCAUUAAGCACUCCGCCUGGGGAGUACGGCCGCAAGGCUGAAACUCAAAGGAAUUGACGGGGGCCCGCACAAGCGGUGGAGCAUGUGGUUUAAUUCGAAGCAACGCGAAGAACCUUACCAGGUCUUGACAUCCUUGGACCUCCCUAGAGAUAGGGAUUUCCCUUCGGGGACCAAGUGACAGGUGGUGCAUGGUUGUCGUCAGCUCGUGUCGUGAGAUGUUGGGUUAAGUCCCGCAACGAGCG
This 1076-nucleotide ribosomal RNA is filed under the name Halobacillus trueperi. RNAcentral describes it as "bacterial SSU rRNA". It matches the Rfam family "Bacterial small subunit ribosomal RNA", at positions 56 to 1098 of the family's 1533-position model. Lineage: Bacteria; Bacillati; Bacillota; Bacilli; Caryophanales; Bacillaceae. The record is from RNAcentral.